AAUUUUACUAUGUGUGCAAAUUUAGAAGCAUAAUGUACAAAGAAUACAAGCCAUUUUAAAGGAAUAUAUAAAGAAAGUCCACAAAAUUUUAAGACGCGAUAGGGUUAAAAUAGGGAUUUCAUCCACCGAGUUUUGGGAAACCCUGUAUUUAUGUCGCGGCGUUUCAUCUGCAUCGGCGUAUAUCUUCCUCUCAAAACCCUACAACCGCAAAACAAGUGAGAAAUCAAUCGCCACUCCAUUUGAUCUAAUCCAUUUAUUGACUGAAGAAAACGGAGAGUGGGGAGCAGACACCAGUUUUGGAGGUCAUUCAAAUCAAUAAGCAUAAUCUGAACUUGGUCAUUUGUUUGGCCGAUCAUGGAGCUGUGAGGGUUUAAUCGGAGCACCAAAGUCCAUCGGGUCAAAGGUUUCUACCAUGAUAUGACGAAAGGUCAGUGAUGAUUUUGUUUGGGGCAAUAGAAGUGGUAGGUAGUGGAAAAAUCGAAGCCUCAACAGUGGCGGCUUUAGGGUUCCUUCUUGAGUGAGUCGGUGGCGGUUAGGAUUCUGGCAGAGGAAUCCUCAGAUGGUAUCUAUGGUGGUGAUUACAGGUAGUCACGUAUUUUGCUUAUAUUUGUUGUUAUUUGAUCUUUACAAGGAAUGAUGACAAGAAGGACCAACGACAGGGUGAACCGAAGCAAUCAUCGAAGAGUAUUGAGAUCUUUGAAGAUGAGGAGGAUGAUCAAUAUGUACCCAUGAUUGAGAUGGAAGACUUAUUUGAAGAACCUGUUGUUUAUAUUGACUUUUCUGACACCAAAAUCUGCUUGUUGAUGUUGAUCAUGUUGAUGAUAUCUACGCUAAUUACCGAAACAGGAGGGUUAUAGCAUGGUUUUACCAAACUAUAUGUUAACACAACAAUCUGACACGAGUGAGAAAAUGAGAGCCGUGCCUAUUGACUAACACAUUGAGGUAUUGGUGUUCUUUUGGUCCAGACUCCAGAUCAUCAUAGAAAAGGUGAAAUUAGACCAAGCAGGAAUACUCUGGUAUUAUUCGUGAGAUUUAAUUGACAAUGAUUCGUUUUUGUUGGGCAUUCAAACAGAAUGGCAGUUGUAGCAAAUGAUUCGAUUUGGAACAAAUAAUCUAAAGUUACAGGCAAUCAUGCCUCGGUUUACGCAUGUUUAAAAGCCGGAUAAACGUGCAGAGCCGAUUACAUGUACCAGAGCUGGGAAACGCGCGUCUGGCGACACGUUACUUGGCCCCGGCACGCAGUGAACUAGCCGCUCGACACGUAACUGAGUUUGUCAUUCAGGCAUAAUGCAGCGUCUGUAACGCGUUUUUCUCGAGCACGUGUAACGGAGAUAGAAAACGCGUGUUUGAUACCAUGUAACGGGAGUAAACUGUCACCGGUAAGUGCUUAACGCAGCGCUUGACGCGAAACCGGCUUUGCAUGAGUAACCAGCGCCAGUUACGAGCAUUCAGGAAGAGUUGUUGGUGGCAGAGAGAUAAUGGUUCAGUUUGCCAAAUACGGGCCAGAUGUUGAAAGAAUGUGAGUCGAGUAUUUGGUAAUUUUGCGUCUGAAUUAGCAUUUUACGCGAAUAGGAGCGUUCCCAAACGCUAAAUCAGUCGGAACUUUCCCAAAACGUGAUUUUAUAUGAUUUGUAACGAAUUUAAUGAAAA
Molecule: long non-coding RNA, 1650 nt
Organism: Helianthus annuus (common sunflower)
Lineage: Eukaryota; Viridiplantae; Streptophyta; Magnoliopsida; Asterales; Asteraceae
Exons: 6
Source: RefSeq, a predicted model, not a curated record